GACGAACGCUGGCGGCAUGCCUAAUACAUGCAAGUCGAACGAUGAUAUCACUGCUUGCAAUGAUUGAUUAGUGGCGAACGGGUGAGUAACACGUGAGGAACUUGCCCAUGAGCGGGGGACAACAUUCGGAAACGGAUGCUAAUACCCCAUAGGUGGAUUGGUCGCAUGACGAAUUCAUUAAAGGUGGCUUUGCUACCACUCAUGGAUAGCCUCGCGGCGUAUUAGCUAGUUGGUAAGGUAAUGGCUUACCAAGGCAGUGAUACGUAGCCGACUUGAGAGGGUGAUCGGCCACACUGGGACUGAGACACGGCCCAGACUCCUACGGGAGGCAGCAGUAGGGAAUCUUCCACAAUGGGUGCAAACCUGAUGGAGCAAUGCCGCGUGAGUGAAGAAGGUCUUCGGAUCGUAAAGCUCUGUUGUUAGAGAAGAACACGUGCUAGGUAACUACUAGCACCUUGACGGUAUCUAACCAGAAAGUCACGGCUAACUACGUGCCAGCCGCCGCCGUAACAC
Molecule: ribosomal RNA, 513 nt
Filed under: uncultured bacterium
Lineage: Bacteria
Description: bacterial SSU rRNA
Rfam family: Bacterial small subunit ribosomal RNA
Source: RNAcentral